Long non-coding RNA from Cebus imitator (Panamanian white-faced capuchin), 127 nucleotides. RefSeq lists it as uncharacterized. NCBI's taxonomy places the organism in Eukaryota, Metazoa, Chordata, Mammalia, Primates, Cebidae. The transcript is spliced from 3 exons. The record is from RefSeq and is a predicted model, not a curated record.
CCAGCUAAUUUUUAAAUCUGCUUGUUAGGUAUGACUUGAUGAGGCAAGAUACAUUGAGCAUCAUGUGGUUCAGUAGAGCAGUGGUGUCUACACUAAGAUGAAUGUUAGAAUUACCUUAGGUGCUUCU